GCCUGGGUGGCUCAGCCGGUUGAGCGUGGGACUUCAGCUCAGGUCAUUGAUCUCACGGUUUGUGGGUUCGAGCCCCGCACCGGGUU
Molecule: transfer RNA, 86 nt
Filed under: Felis catus (domestic cat)
Lineage: Eukaryota; Metazoa; Chordata; Mammalia; Carnivora; Felidae
Rfam family: tRNA
About the family: Transfer RNA (tRNA) molecules are approximately 80 nucleotides in length. Their secondary structure includes four short double-helical elements and three loops (D, anti-codon, and T loops).
Source: Rfam by way of RNAcentral